AAUAAAANGCCUGAAAAAAGGAUUAUCUUGAUAGGAUAAAUUAUGUAAAUGUAUUUUACUUUUAUUA
This 67-nucleotide transfer RNA is filed under the name Ixodes auritulus. Its description in RNAcentral is "tRNA-Ile". Lineage: Eukaryota; Metazoa; Arthropoda; Arachnida; Ixodida; Ixodidae. The record is from RNAcentral.